UAGUAGGUGGGGUACGGCUCACCUAGGCGACGAUCCCUAGCUGGUCUGAGAGGAUGACCAGCCACACUGGAACUGAGACACGGUGCUUCAGACUCCUACGGGAGGCUAACAGUGCGGAAUAUCUGAACAAUGCGCGGCAUAGCAUUGGAUGCAGCCAUGCCAAGUGAUGACUAGAAGGCCUUAGGGUAGUAUAGUAUCUUUCGCAGUGAGGUCAAGGCCAUGAUAGUAAUAACCGCGUGCGAUUGACGUACCCGCAUGAAUAAGCACCAGCAAACUCCGUGCCACAGCUCGCGUGAAUACGGAAAGGGCUGGCAAGCGUUAUCGGAUUACUGGGCGUAAGCGACGCAACGGUAUCGAUCGACUCCAAGCGUAAAGAAAUCCCCGGGCUCAACCUGGGAACUGCAUCCGAAACUGGCAGGCUUGAGUCUCGUAGAGGGGGGUAGAAUUCCAGGUGUAGCGGUGAAAUGCGUAGAGAUCUGGAGGAAUACCGGUGGCGAAAGCGGCCCCCUGGACGAAGACUGACGCUCAGGUGCGAAAGCGUGGGGAGCAAACAGGAUUAGAUACCCUGGUAGUCCACGCCGUAAACGAUGUCGACUUGGAGGUUGUGCCCUGAGGCGUGGCUUCCGGAGCUAACGCGUUAAGUCGACCGCCUGGGGAGUACGGCCGCAAGGUUAAAACUCAAAUGAAUUGACGGGGGCCCGCACAAGCGGUGGAGCAUGUGGUUUAAUUCGAUGCAACGCGAAGAACCUUACCUGGUCUUGACAUCCACAGAACUUUCCAGAGAUGGAUUGGUGCCUUCGGGAACUGUGAGACAGGUGCUGCAUGGCUGUCGUCAGCUCGUGUUGUGAAAUGUUGGGUUAAGUCCCGCAACGAGCGCAACCCUUAUCCUUUGUUGCCAGCGGUCCGGCCGGGAACUCAAAGGAGACUGCCAGUGAUAAACUGGAGGAAGGUGGGGAUGACGUCAAGUCAUCAUGGCCCUUACGACCAGGGCUACACACGU
Molecule: ribosomal RNA, 1000 nt
Filed under: Kosakonia cowanii
Lineage: Bacteria; Pseudomonadati; Pseudomonadota; Gammaproteobacteria; Enterobacterales; Enterobacteriaceae
Description: bacterial SSU rRNA
Rfam family: Bacterial small subunit ribosomal RNA
Source: RNAcentral